AUGCUUGGGAAUCUGGCUUAUGGAGGGGGAUAACUGUGGGAAACUGCAGCUAAUACCGCGUAAUCUCUGAGGAGUAAAGGGUGGGACCUAUUGGCCACCUGCCAUAAGAUGAGCCCAAGUGGGAUUAGGUAGUUGGUGGGGUAAAGGCCUACCAAGCCUGCGAUCUCUAGCUGGUCUGAGAGGAUGACCAGCCACACUGGAACUGAGACACGGUCCAGACUCCUACGGGAGGCAGCAGUGGGGAAUAUUGCGCAAUGGGGGGAACCCUGACGCAGCCAUGCCGCGUGAAUGAAGAAGGCCUUCGGGUUGUAAAGUUCUUUCGGUAAUGAGGAAGGGAUGUUGUUUAAUAGAUGGCAUCAUUGACGUUAAUUACAGAAGAAGCACCGGCUAACUCCGUGCCAGCAGCCGCGGUAAUACGGAGGGUGCGAGCGUUAAUCGGAAUAACUGGGCGUAAAGGGCACGCAGGCGGACUUUUAAGUGAGAUGUGAAAUCCCCGAGCUUAACUUGGGAAUUGCAUUUCAG
This 522-nucleotide ribosomal RNA is filed under the name Pasteurella multocida. RNAcentral describes it as "bacterial SSU rRNA". It matches the Rfam family "Bacterial small subunit ribosomal RNA", at positions 113 to 631 of the family's 1533-position model. The record is from RNAcentral. Lineage: Bacteria; Pseudomonadati; Pseudomonadota; Gammaproteobacteria; Pasteurellales; Pasteurellaceae.